UACGGGGGGGGCAAGCGUUGUUCGGAAUUACUGGGCGUAAAGGGCUCGUAGGCGGCCAACUAAGUCGGACGUGAAAUCCCCAGGCUCAACCUGGGAACUGCGUCCGAUACUGGAUGGCUUGAAUCCGGGAGAGGGAUGCAGAAUUCCAGGUGUAGCGGUGAAAUGCGCAGAUAUCAGGAGGAACACCAAUGGCGAAGGCAGCUCGCUGGGACGGUACUGACGCUGAGGCGCGAAAGCGUGGGGAGCAAACAGG
RNAcentral lists this ribosomal RNA (253 nucleotides) under uncultured bacterium. RNAcentral's name for it is "partial 16S ribosomal RNA". It matches the Rfam family "Bacterial small subunit ribosomal RNA", at positions 524 to 776 of the family's 1533-position model. The record is from RNAcentral.